UAAGAAUGACAAAGGAAGCAAUUCCGAAGUCAAUUCAAAUGAGUUAGAUGAAAAUAGCAAACGAGAAGCAAGUGAGGGCAAGUCUGGUGCCAGCAGCCGCGGUAAUACCAGCUCCACUAGCAUAUGUUAAAGUUGCUGCAGUUAAAACGCUCGUAGUUGGGAUAAAAGAAGGAGAAAGCAACGAGAAAAUAAGAAAUUGUUUUUCAUUGUUUUUUCUUUCGUUUUUAAUUUAUUUGGUGAAUUCGAGGUAACUUGAGUUUGCCUUGUCACCGUAUCACCUUGAACAAAGCAUGUCGCUCAAAAUGGGGUCUUCAGACAAGGAGUGUUGAGCAUGGAAUGAGAGAAUAUGAGAAGGAAAAAAAAAGAAGAGAGUGAUCUUGGAGGUUUUUCUUUCUAAUGGCAAAUGGGAA
RNAcentral lists this ribosomal RNA (410 nucleotides) under uncultured eukaryote. RNAcentral's name for it is "partial 18S ribosomal RNA". It matches the Rfam family "Eukaryotic small subunit ribosomal RNA", at positions 477 to 878 of the family's 1831-position model. The record is from RNAcentral.